This 274-nucleotide ribosomal RNA is filed under the name uncultured bacterium. RNAcentral's name for it is "partial 16S ribosomal RNA". It matches the Rfam family "Bacterial small subunit ribosomal RNA", at positions 523 to 796 of the family's 1533-position model. The record is from RNAcentral.
CCACGAACUGCGCGAACGUUGUUCGGAAUCACUGGGCUUAAAGAGUGCGUAGGCGGCCAAGUAAGUUGGAUGUGAAAGCCCCCGGCUCAACCGGGGAAUUGCGUUCAAUACUGCUUGGCUUGAGGAAGACAGAGGUGAGUGGAACUGAUGGUGGAGCGGUGAAAUGCGUUGAUAUCAUCAGGAACACCGGUGGCGAAGGCGGCUCACUGGGUCUUUUCUGACGCUGAGGCACGAAAGCUAGGGGAGCGAGCGGGAUUAGAAACCCUUGUAGUCC